RNAcentral lists this ribosomal RNA (379 nucleotides) under Escherichia coli. RNAcentral describes it as "partial 23S ribosomal RNA". It matches the Rfam family "Bacterial large subunit ribosomal RNA", at positions 1875 to 2261 of the family's 2925-position model. Lineage: Bacteria; Pseudomonadati; Pseudomonadota; Gammaproteobacteria; Enterobacterales; Enterobacteriaceae. The record is from RNAcentral.
GAUUAAAUGAUGGGGUGCAAGCUCUUGAUUGAAGUCCCGGUAAACGGCGGCCGUAACUAUAACGGUCCUAAGGUAGCGAAAUUCCUUGUCGGGUAAGUUCCGACCUGCACGAAUGGCGUAACGAUGGCCACACUGUCUCCUCCCGAGACUCAGCGAAGUUGAAGUGUUUGUGAUGAUGCAAUCUCCCCGCGGCUAGACGGAAAGACCCCAUGAACCUUUACUGUAGCUUUGCAUUGGACUUUGAACCGAUCUGUGUAGGAUAGGUGGGAGGCUUUGAAACCGGGACGCUAGUUUCGGUGGAGCCGUCCUUGAAAUACCACCCUGGUUUGUUUGAGGUUCUAACCUUGGCCCGUGAAUCCGGGUCGGGGACAGUGCAUGG